GAGCGUCCACCUCCAUGAAGAGGCCCAUCACCUAGUGCAAAAAGAGAAAACUGUCAGAACGAAGAAACAAAGAAAACUAGAACAUGAGCAGAAAUCGGAAAGGACGACCUACCAUCAGGAGCAUCUCCCUGAUCGUGUCCCCAAGCUCCCCUCGAGGUCGAGACCGGAACGCUGCCUGUUCCCUUGUAGAACUGGCUAGAAGACCAGUAAGGGCAAGCAAGCGUGGGUUCGAAGCCUCUGUGACGCC
Molecule: long non-coding RNA, 247 nt
Filed under: Manihot esculenta (cassava)
Lineage: Eukaryota; Viridiplantae; Streptophyta; Magnoliopsida; Malpighiales; Euphorbiaceae
Description: long non-coding RNA (MESC_LNC002610)
Source: RNAcentral